This 205-nucleotide long non-coding RNA is filed under the name Nicotiana benthamiana. RNAcentral's name for it is "long non-coding RNA (NBEN_LNC008396)". The record is from RNAcentral. Lineage: Eukaryota; Viridiplantae; Streptophyta; Magnoliopsida; Solanales; Solanaceae.
GCAAUAAGUGCAAUUUUUUCCCCAUCUUUUGUUGUGUUCAUUCAAUUAUUACAAAGUAUUAAUAUAACUUAAUAUUUAUACUAUACGUAAUUCAAAAAAUAAAUAAAUAAAUAAAUCCGGCCCGGCCCGGCCCGGACCGGAUCAACCCAACCCAAUUGCAACCCGCCCCCAAUUGAACCCGGACCGGACCGGCCCGGACCCGGAC